UGUGGUGCUUGAACUUAUCUC
This 21-nucleotide non-coding RNA is filed under the name Caenorhabditis elegans. The record is from RNAcentral. Lineage: Eukaryota; Metazoa; Nematoda; Chromadorea; Rhabditida; Rhabditidae.